Molecule: ribosomal RNA, 468 nt
Filed under: uncultured bacterium
Lineage: Bacteria
Description: partial 16S ribosomal RNA
Rfam family: Bacterial small subunit ribosomal RNA
Source: RNAcentral
GACGAACGCUGGCGGCGUGCUUAACACAUGCAAGUCGAACGGAAAGGCCCUGCUUUUGUGGGGUGCUCGAGUGGCGAACGGGUGAGUAACACGUGAGUAACCUGCCCUUGACUUUGUGAUAACUUCAGGAAACUGGGGCUAAUACCGGAUAGGAUCUCCUGCUGCAUGGUGGGGGUUGGAAAGUUUCGGCUGUUGUGGAUGGACUCGCGGCUUAUCAGCUUGUUGGUGUGGUAGUGGCUUACCAAGGCUUUGACGGGUAGCCGGCCUGAGAGGGUGACCGGCCACAUUGGGACUGAGAUACGGCCCAGACUCCUACGGGAGGCAGCAGUGGGGAAUAUUGCACAAUGGGCGGAAGCCUGAUGCAGCAACGCCGCGUGCGGGAUGACGGCCUUCGGGUUGUAAACCGCUUUCGCCUGUGACGAAGCGUGAGUGACGGUAAUGGGUAAAGAAGCACCGGCUAACUACGUG